CCUACGGGGGGCAGCAGUGAGGAAUAUUGGUCAAUGGACGAGAGUCUGAACCAGCCAAGUAGCGUGAAGGAUGACUGCCCUAUGGGUUGUAAACUUCUUUUAUAUGGGAAUAAAAUGUUCCACGUGUGGGAUUUUGUAUGUACCAUAUGAAUAAGGAUCGGCUAACUCCGUGCCAGCAGCCGCGGUAAUACGGAGGAUACGAGCGUUAUCCGGAUUUAUUGGGUUUAAAGGGAGCGUAGGUGGAUUGUUAAGUCAGUUGUGAAAGUUUGCGGCUCAACCGUAAAAUUGCAGUUGAAACUGGCAGUCUUGAGUGCAGUAGAGGUAGGCGGAAUUCGUGGUGUAGCGGUGAAAUGCUUAGAUAUCACGAAGAACUCCGAUUGCGAAGGCAGUUCACUGGACUGCAACUGACACUGAGGCUCGAAAGUGUGGGUAUCAAACAGGAUUAGAUACCCGGGUAGUC
RNAcentral lists this ribosomal RNA (460 nucleotides) under uncultured bacterium. RNAcentral's name for it is "partial 16S ribosomal RNA". It matches the Rfam family "Bacterial small subunit ribosomal RNA", at positions 338 to 795 of the family's 1533-position model. The record is from RNAcentral.